Molecule: ribosomal RNA, 253 nt
Filed under: uncultured bacterium
Lineage: Bacteria
Description: partial 16S ribosomal RNA
Rfam family: Bacterial small subunit ribosomal RNA
Source: RNAcentral
UACGGAGGGGGCUAGCGUUGUUCGGAAUUACUGGGCGUAAAGCGCACGUAGGCGGCUUUGCAAGUCAGAGGUGAAAGCCCGGGGCUCAACCCCGGAAUUGCCUUUGAGACUGCAUCGCUAGAAUUGUGGAGAGGUAAGUGGAAUUCCGAGUGUAGAGGUGAAAUUCGUAGAUAUUCGGAAGAACACCGGUGGCGAAGGCGACUUACUGGACACAUAUUGACGCUGAGGUGCGAAAGCGUGGGGAGCAAACAGG